Molecule: ribosomal RNA, 623 nt
Filed under: uncultured bacterium
Lineage: Bacteria
Description: bacterial SSU rRNA
Rfam family: Bacterial small subunit ribosomal RNA
Source: RNAcentral
CCUACGGGAGGCAGCAGUGAGGAAUAUUGGACAAUGGGCGCAAGCCUGAUCCAGCCAUGCCGCGUGCAGGAAGACGGUCCUAUGGAUUGUAAACUGCUUUUGUACGGGAAGAAACACUCCUUCGUGAAGGAGCUUGACGGUACCGUAAGAAUAAGGAUCGGCUAACUCCGUGCCAGCAGCCGCGGUAAUACGGAGGAUCCAAGCGUUAUCCGGAAUCAUUGGGUUUAAAGGGUCCGUAGGCGGUUUAGUAAGUCAGUGGUGAAAGCCCAUCGCUCAACGGUGGAACGGCCAUUGAUACUGCUAGACUUGAAUUAUUAGGAAGUAACUAGAAUAUGUAGUGUAGCGGUGAAAUGCUUAGAGAUUACAUGGAAUACCAAUUGCGAAGGCAGGUUACUACUAAUGGAUUGACGCUGAUGGACGAAAGCGUGGGUAGCGAACAGGAUUAGAUACCCUGGUAGUCCACGCCGUAAACGAUGGAUACUAGCUGUUGGGGGCAACUUCAGUGGCUAAGCGAAAGUGAUAAGUAUCCCACCUGGGAGGUACGUUCGCAAGAAGUAGAAACGUUAAAGGUAAAGUUAGACGGCGUGAGACGUGCCGAACGGACGACGACGAGGGAGGUUAGG